UGCAGUCGAGCGGUAACAGGGGGUGCUUGCACCCCGCUGACGAGCGGCGGACGGGUGAGUAAUGCAUAGGAAUCUGCCCAGUAGUGGGGGAUAGCCCGGGGAAACCCGGAUUAAUACCGCAUACGCCCUUUGGGGGAAAGCAGGGGAUCUUCGGACCUUGCGCUAUUGGAUGAGCCUAUGUCGGAUUAGCUAGUUGGUGGGGUAAAGGCCUACCAAGGCGACGAUCCGUAGCUGGUCUGAGAGGAUGAUCAGCCACAUCGGGACUGAGACACGGCCCGAACUCCUACGGGAGGCAGCAGUGGGGAAUAUUGGACAAUGGGGGCAACCCUGAUCCAGCCAUGCCGCGUGUGUGAAGAAGGCUUUCGGGUUGUAAAGCACUUUCAGUGAGGAGGAAAACCUUCUGGUUAAUACCCAUGAGGCUUGACGUUACUCACAGAAGAAGCACCGGCUAACUCCGUGCCAGCAGCCGCGGUAAUACGGAGGGUGCAAGCGUUAAUCGGAAUUACUGGGCGUAAAGCGCGCGUAGGUGGUUUGAUAAGCGAGAUGUGAAAGCCCCGGGCUUAACCUGGGAACGGCAUUUCGAACUGUCAGGCUAGAGUGUGGUA
Molecule: ribosomal RNA, 605 nt
Filed under: Marinobacter sp.
Lineage: Bacteria; Pseudomonadati; Pseudomonadota; Gammaproteobacteria; Pseudomonadales; Marinobacteraceae
Description: bacterial SSU rRNA
Rfam family: Bacterial small subunit ribosomal RNA
Source: RNAcentral